RNAcentral lists this ribosomal RNA (207 nucleotides) under uncultured bacterium. RNAcentral describes it as "partial 16S ribosomal RNA". It matches the Rfam family "Bacterial small subunit ribosomal RNA", at positions 568 to 774 of the family's 1533-position model. The record is from RNAcentral.
CUCGUAGGCGGUUCGUCGCGUCCGGUGUGAAAGUCCAUCGCUUAACGGUGGAUCUGCGCCGGGUACGGGCGGGCUGGAGUGCGGUAGGGGAGACUGGAAUUCCCAGUGUAACGGUGGAAUGUGUAGAUAUCGGGAAGAACACCAAUGGCGAAGGCAGGUCUCUGGGCCGUUACUGACGCUGAGGAGCGAAAGCGUGGGGAGCGAACA